GAUGAGAAAAGCAACGGAAUAAUCGUUUCCGGUCGCACUACCGUCGGGAGAACUCCUCGCGGAAUUGAAACGAGUUCGGUUGACGAAUAACGAUUCGUUCGCGGCUUCGCUGUUGCAAUCGUUGCUCCGAUUGAAGUGAUUCCGUGAGGCACCCAAGUGAUUUCCCAAGGAUAACGCGACGACGCCCGCGCCUCUACCCAGCGAAGGUUCGCCCCCACUUCCCGAUCGAACGCAUCGGCGGCGACGGGCGACGGGCGACGGGCGACGGGUGUUGAAUUCACUCGACCUCGGGACCUCCGGACUGAGAUAUGUUGAACGCGACACCGCGCACGUCCGUCCGACGUAUGUAUCUGCUGUACAUGUACGUACGUACGUACCUAUACGUAUAACUUGGAUCAUCGUAGGAACGCCGCUACAGUACACGCCGAACGACCGUUAUAUCACGUUAUUGGUAUGUAAUACCCGUCGACUAUACGUACACAGUAUGGAGGUAGAGGCGCGUCUGUGUAGGUACAAAGGUGCGGCUCACGAUCGUCGGAAAAAACAAUCGUAGGAACGGUUCAUUGUUCGAUGAUUCGUGUAGCGAUGGAAUUUUCAAGUCUUGAGAACAACGGGGACUCGGGAGACGAUGCGUGCGUUACGAAGAAGAGAAGACGAAUAGAAGGAGGAAUCAAAGAGGUCGUUUUCAUUCACGCGUCUGCCGUUGAUGUAUGCUGUAAAGUUGACCUGGAAGUUUUUGGUGAUUUACUCGAGUAAACGUCGUAUAACGUGUAUAGGUAUACGUACGUUUACUCGGGGUAAACUAAAGUAGGACCGGCCUGCGGCAGACUGUUUGUAAUUCAGGCCCACCGUCCCUACCACCACACCUAUGUAUCCAGCAUACGUGUUACAUACGGUGCCGGACGUAGAGGAAUGCAGUCUGAACAGAAAUAGACCUUCCAGUGACUUGUGCCGAGAAGUGCAACGGAUCGGAAUAGGCCAUUGAG
This 986-nucleotide unclassified non-coding RNA is filed under the name Athalia rosae (coleseed sawfly). RNAcentral describes it as "misc RNA ENSAEAG00005003021.1". Lineage: Eukaryota; Metazoa; Arthropoda; Insecta; Hymenoptera; Athaliidae. The record is from RNAcentral.